CUCCCAUGGUGUUUGUUUUUUUUUAUUCUGGAACUCUCAGAACAGUCAUAUAUUGAAUUUGAUUGUUGUGUGUCUUCUCGAUUCUCUGACAUCAUCAGCUUCAGGAGAACAGAAGCUAGGAAGAUCCAUCUGUGUAUCUCCAAACAAAUAGUGCAGUGUCAGCUACAGAGAAAAUUUCUACAGAGAAUUCAAAGAGUAUAAGUACAAUUAUUAUUCUCAUUUAACAAACAUGGAAGCCAAAACACAGAGGGAUGAAGCAUCGCUGAUCUCAGGAAGCCAUGUACCACUGACAAGUCACUGCCAAGCAUCCUCACCACACUACCUCAGCGUGCCUCUGUUCAGUGUCUGGACAUCUGGGAACAAUAGAAGCUUGACGACUUUGGACUGCAUUGCCUGGGUUCCAGUGGGAAGCAGCAGUAUAAAGCGGGGGACAGAUAAAGAGUGUGAGGCAUUUCUUCUCCAUUCCUGCCAGCUUGGAGGCUGCCUUGCUGUUGGCAGCUGUGCCCUUGCAUGACUACAGCUCCUACAGGGUGGCCCUUCCUCCUUGGUCCCAGGAACACCCUUUCCUGCACUUGUCCCUUCUGCCCAAGGGUUGCUAAUGGCUUCUUUCUGUUGCCUGCCUUUGGCUGCUCCAACAUCUCUUGUUCCUUCCUUUAACUUUGUCUAUACUUCUGGAAGUGACUUUUUUAUUAAAGUCUCUUCAUGCAAACCAUCUGUGGGGAAUUCUAUUUUCUUCCAGGACUUUG
Long non-coding RNA from Symphalangus syndactylus (siamang), 746 nucleotides. RefSeq lists it as uncharacterized. Lineage: Eukaryota; Metazoa; Chordata; Mammalia; Primates; Hylobatidae. The record is from RefSeq and is a predicted model, not a curated record.